GAGUUUGAUCAUGGCUCAGAACGAACGCUGGCGGCAUGCCUAACACAUGCAAGUCGAACGAACUCUUCGGAGUUAGUGGCGCACGGGUGCGUAACGCGUGGGAAUCUGCCCUUGGGUACGGAAUAACUCAGAGAAAUUUGUGCUAAUACCGUAUAAUGACUUCGGUCCAAAGAUUUAUCGCCCAAGGAUGAGCCCGCGUAAGAUUAGCUAGUUGGUGGGUAAAGGCCUACCAAGGCUACGGUCUUUAGCUGGUCUGAGAGGAUGAUCAGCCACACUGGGACUGAGACACGGCCCAGACUCCUACGGGAGGCAGCAGUGGGGAAUAUUGGACAAUGGGCGAAAGCCUGAUCCAGCAAUGCCGCGUGAGUGAUGAAGGCCUUAGGGUUGUAAAGCUCUUUUACCCGGAUGAUAAUGACAGUACCGGGAGAAUAAGCUCCGGCUAACUCCGUGCCAGCAGCCGCGGUAAG
Molecule: ribosomal RNA, 467 nt
Filed under: uncultured microorganism
Description: bacterial SSU rRNA
Rfam family: Bacterial small subunit ribosomal RNA
Source: RNAcentral